RNAcentral lists this ribosomal RNA (257 nucleotides) under uncultured prokaryote. RNAcentral's name for it is "partial 16S ribosomal RNA". It matches the Rfam family "Bacterial small subunit ribosomal RNA", at positions 917 to 1178 of the family's 1533-position model. The record is from RNAcentral.
GGGCCCGCACAAGCAGUGGAGUAUGUGGUUUAAUUCGACGCAACGCGAAGAACCUUACCAGGGUUGACAUCCGACUAACGAAGCAGAGAUGCAUUAGGUGCCCUUCGGGGAAAGUCGAGACAGGUGGUGCAUGGUUGUCGUCAGCUCGUGUCGUGAGAUGUUGGGUUAAGUCCCGCAACGAGCGCAACCCCUAUUGUUAGUUGCUACGCAAGAGCACUCUAGCGAGACUGCCGUUGACAAAACGGAGGAAGGUGGGG